GGUGUUAGAGGUGAUUCUUGCCAGGUACUAACUGCACACAGUAGGUGUUAGAGGUGAUUCUUGCCAGGCGUUACACUGCACACAGUAGGUGUUAGAGGUGGCUCUUGCCGCGGGUUACACUGCAUACAGUAGGUGUUAGAGGUGGUUCUUGCCAGGUGCUAACUGCAUACAGUAGGUGUUAGAGGUGGUUCUUGCCAGGUGCUAACUGCAUACAGUAGGUGUUAGAGGUGGUUCUUGCUGCGUUACACUGCACACAGUAGGUGUUAGAGGUGGUUCUUGCUGUGCGUUACACUGCACACAGUAGGUGUUUGUACGGCUCUUGCCGUGCAUUACACUGUGUGCAGUAGGUGUUAGAGGCGAGUCUCUGUGGGUACUUUGAAGGGUCAGGGGUCGUGCUCCAGUUCAGGCCAGAUGCUGCCCCUCCACUGUCUGCGUGGUGACUUAUGGGUGAUGCUGUUACCCACACAGAAGGCUGUCUCUUGUGGCUUAUUCUCCAGCCCCCGACAGGUCGUCAUGCCCUGCACAUCAGUGCAGACACCCACCCUGACAUGCGCAUGGCUGACCUGCUCUUCACCGCGUAGUGCAGUGUUGUGGUCAGCAGACCAGGUCUGUGCGGGGAGACUGCAUGGAGCUCUGCGUGCGCUGGGCCCUACGCUCCCUGGGAUGGCAGCUGCAGCCUCGCGUGCUCGUGACGCGUGGUUGUCUGUCAGCCUCCUGGUCCCCGAGGCUGCUGCUUGUUUCCGGAGCCGGCACCCACACCCUCCCUUUCCCCUCAGCAGGCUGGAGCAUUGACAGCAGCUGACCAACGGGCCUGCCUCGCGUGGGCUCUGUGUGUGGCUCGUCUGCCAGCGUGUGCGUGUGCGCGUGCGCAUGGACAAGGACUGGGGCUGGGCAGCCCAACCUUGGACUUUUGUUGAGAACUCACGUUAGGCCCUGGUAUGUGGUCAGUUUUCAGGAAUGUUCCAUGGAUGGUGGGCAAGGAUCUGAGCCCUGCGUGCCCCCAAGAGGAAGCCUGGCGAGCCGAGCCGUCUCCUGCCCUAGAGGUUCUGCCCACACUGGCCUCCUCGGCUGGGUGGCCUGUUUGAGCGGCCGCAUUCCUGGAGCUGCACCAGCUUUGUCGUCGGGGUAGCUUGUGCCUUCCUGACGUUCAGAACCCACAUCCUUAUGUUUUCAAUGUGUUGGGUAUAAAGCACGUGUCGGGGGCUUUCAACAUCUGGUCUGACAGUGUUUGUCUCCUUUUUGUUCCGUAAGGUUCUUCUCUCUGAGUUUAUUUCUGCCAUCUCUGCAUUCUACGCGUCCUGUCAUUUGGGACAGGUUGCUUUGUUCCUCCUUUCUUAACUUGUUUUGGAUUCUCUUUUCUUCUCUCUUUUUUCUCCUGUUAGAUUGGGAUUCAUUCCUCGGCUUCCAUAGGGGCCGCCACCCCACAUGUUUUAACACGCAGAAUUCAUGUAUCAGAAUCUAAACUCAACUGUUAUUUUUACUUUUCUCAAAACAAUUCAGAGACCUUAGGACACCGAUUGUGGUGACCUCCGUCCUGCCCCAGGCCUGACCCCUGUGUGCCACUCCUUCCUGGUUCUCCCUGGUGCCUGCAGCUGGGCUCUGGCCGUCCCAGGCUCUGUCCUCGCUACUGCGCUCAGGCCGCACGGACCCUCCCAGGCUGCUGCUGGCCAGGCCUCAUGCCGACUCCUGGUUUCCCCCCGUGUUUGCCCUCUGAGAGGCUGGUCAAAGCUUUCUCGUCAUUAUUGUGACAGAAAUGGGCACGUUUGCUCCCAGGUAUUUAUCGCCAGCAGGUGCUGAGGGCUCCCACUGCUGCUCUGGUCCUCCCAUCGUCUGGCCGCGCUCGGCCCUUCCGGUGAAAUGUUUCUCAGAUUCAUCAACAGUUUUCUGGAAACUCCAGCAAGUAACCAGGAGCCCUCCUCCCCACUCCCCCCGAGGCAGCAGUGGCUCCCCUCAGACCCACUGCGGGCACAGGGUGCAGCCCCCCAACCCCGAGGCCCUGCUGUGCCCGGGGCCCUGUGCAGACCCAGCCUCCCCACCUGGGACUGUUUCCUGAUGUUUUAUGCCCUGUUUUAUUGUAUUAAAAGUUUGUUUUGUUUUAC
Long non-coding RNA from Myotis lucifugus (little brown bat), 2099 nucleotides. RefSeq lists it as uncharacterized. The record is from RefSeq and is a predicted model, not a curated record. The transcript has 2 exons. NCBI's taxonomy places the organism in Eukaryota, Metazoa, Chordata, Mammalia, Chiroptera, Vespertilionidae.